Cricetulus griseus (Chinese hamster) is the source of this 1031-nucleotide non-coding RNA. The record is from RefSeq and is a predicted model, not a curated record. NCBI's taxonomy places the organism in Eukaryota, Metazoa, Chordata, Mammalia, Rodentia, Cricetidae.
GGGUCUUUCUGCCCUGCUCCCCAGCCUCCUCCCGGGCUAGCAAUACACAUACCUCUUCCUUGACAGACGGAAAUCCAGAACAAGUUUUUUCCUUAGUAUUCUCAACUAUUAAGCGGAAAUAAUCUCAUUUCCACAGAUGCUCUUCAGUACCAGUAUAAAGAAAGUAUGAAGAAUGAGCGUGAUUAAAACAAAAACAAAACUGUGGAGCUUAUUAUGCAUGCUCUAUCAUAGCACGGACAACAUACGAUAAAUUCCUGUUUUCAUGAACGAAUGAAUCUUCCUCUGUCCAUCUGGCUCUCAGCCUGGCCCUCAAAUAAAAAAUACCUCAAGUAUCCAUCUACACUUGCUGUCCUGCUCUGAGGAAAUGCAGUUCUAAAGAAGAGAGACCGCAGAAAUCACAGAGGGAAGAGAUGAGGGGAAAAUCAAUUUGGUGCAGUUUUCACAAACCUUUAAAAUAGGGCGAUUUAAGUGAUGAUGGGGUUUCAUGACCAGCGGCGGCUCUGAAGGGAAUGCUCACGUCUCCUGGCAUUUCUCUGAGUAGGUGGGAAAGGAAGGAAAAUGGUUUUUUUCCUCCCCUUCUACUUAGAAGAAAAUGGAGGCAAUGAAAAGCAAACGUCUCCCAUAAUGUCCCAUUACGGAGGACAAAUGAAAUGCUGCUCCCUGUAGCUCCUCAGCCAGGCUCUGGGCAGGCCUUCUCCUCCAAGCUCCAGAAACUAAGUAUUCCCCAACACACCUGGCACUGCUGUUACCAUGGUGACACUUUUGUAUUACCCUCACCUUUUGUGUUCCUUAACUUGGGGGCGGAGGCUGGUGCAGGGCACAGUUGAGUUUUCAUAUUUCUCCCCGGCUUCUGUAAAAUGGAAGAAGAGAAGAGGGGACAGGAUCCUGAUCUCCUCUGCCUGCUUCCUUGGCUCCUUGUUUCUCCGUUCCUCUACUAGACCUCACUGGCCAAGGCACCUAGAAUGGAGGCAGAGGAUGGAUGGAAAAAGCUUUGAUGGAGCCCAAUAGACCUGGGUUCAAAUUUGCAACUC